GCGAGCGUAGUUCAAUGGUAAAACAUCUCCUUGCCAAGGAGAAGAUACGGGUUCAAUUCCCGCCGCUCGCC
RNAcentral lists this transfer RNA (71 nucleotides) under Drepanostachyum semiorbiculatum. RNAcentral describes it as "tRNA-Gly". It matches the Rfam family "tRNA". From Rfam's summary of the family: Transfer RNA (tRNA) molecules are approximately 80 nucleotides in length. Their secondary structure includes four short double-helical elements and three loops (D, anti-codon, and T loops). The record is from RNAcentral. Lineage: Eukaryota; Viridiplantae; Streptophyta; Magnoliopsida; Poales; Poaceae.